CUGUUGCCUUCAGAAUUCCAAAGAGAGAGUCAAUUAAAGAAUUCAACAUAUUUUCCACAGGCCCUUGUUUUUGGCCCUACCUUGUACUGUGUCUAGCAGUUCAAGACUUUACCCAAUCAGUUUGCAUUCCACAGCUUUUCAACACCUUGAAACCAGUUUCCCUUAGGCAGCAGUAACUAUUCUUUCCCUCCUCAACAGACAUCAUUUAUAUUCAGAUUCCAGAUGCCUUGAACACCUCUGAGUAUCAGCUCAAAAUGUCCCCAGCAGGGACAGGAAGGAAAGAGCCAGAGAGAGGGACCUCAACCCAAUUUAUAUCCUGUCUACCUCAGCACAUAAUGACAGAAAAUGAGGAAACUGAGAGAAAGGGAAAAUAAUUUGCAUGGAGUCACAUAUCUAGUGUCUGAGGCUUGACUUAAACUCAUACCUUCUGAGCUCCUGGUCUUCUGGAUUCUUCCUCCAGCAAUCUUACCUACUAUGCUACCCAGCGGCUCACUAAUGCAAUCUAAAAACAACAAAAAUAACAAUACUGUGAUAUCAAAUAUACAAUGUGAUAUCAAAUAUACUAUAUUUAAAGCUUUGGAGGGAGGUAAAAAGUAGGGAAGACAGACAUUUGAAUUGCUCUCUCUUAUUUGUUCAAGUAAUACUAGUAAAGCAUUAUUCAAAAAAGCUUAUGGU
Monodelphis domestica (gray short-tailed opossum) is the source of this 675-nucleotide long non-coding RNA. RefSeq lists it as uncharacterized. The record is from RefSeq and is a predicted model, not a curated record. Lineage: Eukaryota; Metazoa; Chordata; Mammalia; Didelphimorphia; Didelphidae.